CAGCCGCCGCGGUAAUACGUAGGGUGCAAGCGUUAAUCGGAAUUACUGGGCGUAAAGCGUGCGCAGGCGGUUCGUUAAGACAGAUGUGAAAUCCCCGGGCUUAACCUGGGAACUGCAUUUGUGACUGGCGAGCUAGAGUAUGGCAGAGGGGGGUAGAAUUCCACGUGUAGCAGUGAAAUGCGUAGAGAUGUGGAGGAAUACCGAUGGCGAAGGCAGCCCCCUGGGCCAAUACUGACGCUCAUGCACGAAAGCGUGGGGAGCAAACAGGAUUAGAUACCCCUGUAGUCCCUGUCUCUUAUAC
Molecule: ribosomal RNA, 301 nt
Filed under: uncultured bacterium
Lineage: Bacteria
Description: partial 16S ribosomal RNA
Rfam family: Bacterial small subunit ribosomal RNA
Source: RNAcentral